UACAGAGACUGCAAGCGUUGUUCGGAUUCAUUGGGCGUAAAGGGUCCGUAGGCGGUCGGUUAAGUCGGAUGUGAAUUCUCGUGGCCUAACCACGAGCGGUCAUUCGAAACUAACUGGCUAGAGGACUGGAGAGGAGACUGGAAUUGUCGGUGUAGCGGUGAAAUGCGUAGAGAUCGACAAGAACACCGGUGGCGAAGGCGGGUCUCUGGGCCGAUACUGACGCUGAGGAGCGAAAGCGUGGGGAGCGAACAGG
Molecule: ribosomal RNA, 253 nt
Filed under: uncultured bacterium
Lineage: Bacteria
Description: partial 16S ribosomal RNA
Rfam family: Bacterial small subunit ribosomal RNA
Source: RNAcentral